AGUUUAUUUCGCAGCACACAGCAUGGUGUGUGUAGAUAAAUGCUGAUGAUAAAGGCUCCUCAUUUACUUGUUUCUAUUUCUCUCCGGCAAAGAAGAAGUGAAAUUCUCAAAACAAAAGAGAUGUUUCCAGGAAAAACAGAAAGUAAUGCUGCUUGCCCUCUCCACUGUCUGUUCUGCUUCUCUUUUGGUGCCCUCUGUAGAGCAGAGAGUCAUUCUACAUAAACACUGAGCCCAAAAGAAUCCAUCUGAAAUGGUCUCCUAGUGAACCGAGUCCAUUGGAAGUUAGAGAAGCAUCAAGGCAACCAGGGCAAGAGCUGUUCAUCUCAAGUUGAA
This 333-nucleotide long non-coding RNA is filed under the name Mustela putorius furo (domestic ferret). RNAcentral's name for it is "lncRNA (ENSMPUG00000025913.1)". The record is from RNAcentral. Lineage: Eukaryota; Metazoa; Chordata; Mammalia; Carnivora; Mustelidae.